RNAcentral lists this ribosomal RNA (355 nucleotides) under uncultured bacterium. RNAcentral's name for it is "bacterial SSU rRNA". It matches the Rfam family "Bacterial small subunit ribosomal RNA", at positions 1 to 361 of the family's 1533-position model. The record is from RNAcentral.
CGCAGAGUUUGAUCGUGGCUCAGGACGAACGCUGGCGGCGUGCUUAACACAUGCAAGUCGAGCGGUAAGGCCCUUUCGGGGUACGACGAGCGGCGAACGGGUGAGUAACACGUGGGUGACCUGCCCUCAGCUCUGGGAUAAGCCUGGGAAACCGGGUCUAAUACCGGAUAUGACUCCAUGACGCAUGUUGUGGGGUGGAAAGCCUUGUGCGGCUGAGGAUGGGCCCGCGGCCUAUCAGCUUGUUGGUGGGGUGAUGGCCUACCAAGGCGACGACGGGUAGCCGGCCUGAGAGGGCGACCGGCCACACUGGGACUGAGACACGGCCCAGACUCCUACGGGAGGCAGCAGUGGGGAA